CACACAAACAUCAUUAUACCAUUAAACAAACCAUUUGACCAACUAAGUAGAGGCGAUCGAACAGUCACAACAUAUCUUAAAAGUACCGCAAGGGAAUCGCACUAAAGCAAAAAAUAGCAAAGAUAAACUCUUGUACCUUUAGCAUCAUGGUUUAGCAAGAUACCCAAGGCAAGAAGAAUCACAGUCUACAAUCCCGAAACCAGAUGAGCUACCUUCGAGCAGCCUAAUGGGCAAACCCUUCUCUGUAGCAAAAGAGUGGGAAGACUUAAAGGUAGAGGCGAAACACCUACCGAAUCUGGAGAUAGCUGGCUACCCAAAAAGGAAUAUAAGUUCCACUUUAGAUCUAAAGACAAAUUCAUAUUAAACUAAAGAAACUCAAUAGGGGUACAGCUCUAUUGAAACAGGAUACAACCUGUAUUUGAGAGCACAUCCCCUAACUACUACCCGUAGGCUUUAAAGCAGCCAACUAAUAAAAUAUCGUUAAAGAAUUUAACAAAAAAAUACAAAAACCACCCUUAAACUCCAAAUAUACUAAAGGUAAUCCUAUUUACUAUAGGAAAUAUUCUGCUAAAACUAAUAAUAAGACACCCUCUCUAUACGCGCCUUUCCACUAGAACAGAAAAUCUACUAGCCAUCAACAGACCAAACCAGGACAAAUGAAACCCAAUACAUAUCCAACUCCCACUGUAAAUCCAACACAGGUGCGUUAAAAAGAAAGAUAAAAUACUAAAAAAGGAACUCGGCAACCAAAGACCCCAACUGUUUAACAAAAACAUAACCUUUAGACAUUAACUAAUAUUAAAGGCAACGCCUGCCCAGUGAAUAAUUAAACGGCCGCGGUACCCUAACCGUGCAAAGGUAGCAUAAUCACUUGCCUAUUAAUUGUAGGCCUGUACGAAAGGCAUCAUGAGGGCCUAACUGUCUCUUUUAGUAAAUCAAUUAAACUGAUCUCCCAGUCAAAAAGCUGGGAUAGUAACAUAAGACCAGAAGACCCUGUGAAGCUUUAAUUAGACUAUUAAAUCCUAUAAUAACUACUUUAGGUUGGGGCGACCUUGGAAAAAAAAAGAACUUCCAUAAUACUUUAUAUUUUUAUAUAAACUAAGACCAACGAGUCUACAACGACCCAGCACAGCUGAUAAUUGAACCAAGUUACUCCAGGGAUAACAGCGCUAUCUUCUUCAAGAGCCCAUAUCAAAAAGAAGGUUUACGACCUCGAUGUUGGAUCAGGACACCCCAAUGGUGCAGCCGCUAUUAAAGGUUCGUUUGUUCAACGAUUAAUAGUCCUACGUGAUCU
Molecule: ribosomal RNA, 1294 nt
Filed under: Laticauda colubrina (yellow-lipped sea krait)
Lineage: Eukaryota; Metazoa; Chordata; Lepidosauria; Squamata; Elapidae
Description: partial 16S ribosomal RNA
Rfam family: Bacterial large subunit ribosomal RNA
Source: RNAcentral